AACGCAUCUUGCACCCUUUGGUAUUCCGAAGGGUAUGCCUGUUUGAGUGUCUUUAACAACAUCAACGUAACGCCUCUCAGGUGGACGUUGGACCUGAGCGCUGCCGUGAUCGGUUUCACCGGCUCGCUUGAAAAGUGUUAAGCCCGAUCCUCAUCGGUCCUACUCCGUCAGGUUGGUGUCGUAGAACUAACUAUCGCCUCAUGACGGAUGUGACCUUUGGACGGUUGAGCUUUUCGAUGGCCCAUGUCUCAUGGUGCUUCUUGAAUCGGACCUCAAAUCAGGUAGGACUACCCGCUGAACUUAA
This 304-nucleotide unclassified non-coding RNA is filed under the name uncultured fungus. RNAcentral's name for it is "sequence contains ITS2". The stretch from base 1 to 52 matches the Rfam family "5.8S ribosomal RNA", at positions 103 to 154 of the family's 154-position model. Lineage: Eukaryota; Fungi. The record is from RNAcentral.